This 274-nucleotide ribosomal RNA is filed under the name uncultured bacterium. Its description in RNAcentral is "partial 16S ribosomal RNA". It matches the Rfam family "Bacterial small subunit ribosomal RNA", at positions 523 to 796 of the family's 1533-position model. The record is from RNAcentral.
AUACGGAGGGUGCAAGCGUUACUCGGAAUCACUGGGCGUAAAGCGCGCGCAGGCGGGCUGAUAAGUUGGAUGUGAAAGCCUACGGCUCAACCGUAGAACUGCAUCCAAAACUGUCAGUCUAGAGUCUGGGAGGGGAAGAUGGAAUUAGUUGUGUAGGGGUAAAAUCUGUAGAGAUAACUAGGAAUACCAAAAGCGAAGGCGAUCUUCUGGAACAGUACUGACGCUGAGGCGCGAAAGCGUGGGGAGCAAACAGGAUUAGAAACCCUAGUAGUCC